UUUCCGGUUGAUCCUGCCAGAGGCCAUUGCUAUCGGGAUCCGCUUCAGCCAUGCUAGUCGCACGGGUUAGACCCGUGGCAGAUAGCUCCGUAACACGUGGCCAAACUACCCUCUGGAUCGGGAUAACCACGGGAAACUGAGGCUAAUCCCGAAUAAGGCUCGCUGCCUGGAACGGCACGAGCUGGAAACGCUCCGGCGCCAGAGGAUGUGGCUGCGGCCGAUUAGGUUGACGGUGGGGUAACGGCCCACCGUGCCGAUAAUCGGUACGGGUUGUGAGAGCAAGAGCCCGGAGACGGUGUCUGAGACAAGACACCGGGCCCUACGGGGCGCAGCAGGCGCGAAACCUUUACACUGCACGACAGUGUGAUAAGGGGAUCCCGAGUGCGAGGGCAUACAGUCCUUGCUUUUCUGGACCGUAAGGUGGUCCAGGAACAAGGGCUGGGCAAGACCGGUGCCAGCCGCCGCGGUAAUACCGGCAGCCCGAGUGAUGGCCGCUGUUAUUGGGCCUAAGGCGUCCGUAGCCGGCCGGACAAGUCCGUCGGGAAAUCCACGCGCCUAACGUGUGGGCGUCCGGCGGAAACUGUCCGGCUUGGGGCCGGAAGACCCGAGGGGUACGUCCGGGGUAGGAGUGAAAUCCCGUAAUCCUGGACGGACCGCCGGUGGCGAAAGCGCCUCGGGAGGACGGACCCGACGGUGAGGGACGAAAGCCAGGGUCUCGAACCGGAUUAGAUACCCGGGUAGUCCUGGCCGUAAACGAUGCCCGCUAGGUGUGGCACAGGCUACGAGCCUGUGCUGUGCCGUAGGGAAGCCGUGAAGCGGGCCGCCUGGGAAGUACGUCUGCAAGGAUGAAACUUAAAGGAAUUGGCGGGGGAGCACUACAACCGGAGGAGCCUGCGGUUCAAUUGGAGUCAACGCCGGAA
Molecule: ribosomal RNA, 920 nt
Filed under: uncultured archaeon
Lineage: Archaea
Description: bacterial SSU rRNA
Rfam family: Archaeal small subunit ribosomal RNA
Source: RNAcentral